Molecule: ribosomal RNA, 509 nt
Filed under: uncultured bacterium
Lineage: Bacteria
Description: partial 16S ribosomal RNA
Rfam family: Bacterial small subunit ribosomal RNA (bases 20-332)
Source: RNAcentral
GACGAACGCUGGCGGCGUGCUUAACACAUGCAAGUCGAACGGAAAGGCCCUGCUUUUGUGGGGUGCUCGAGUGGCGAACGGGUGAGUAACACGUGAGUAACCUGCCCUUGACUUUGGGAUAACUUCAGGAAACUGGGGCUAAUACCGGAUAGGAGCUCCUGCUGCAUGGUGGGGGUUGGAAAGUUUCGGCGGUUGGGGAUGGACUCGCGGCUUAUCAGCUUGUUGGUGGGGUAGUGGCUUACCAAGGCUUUGACGGGUAGCCGGCCUGAGAGGGUGACCGGCCGGUGUGGGGGCGACGUGCGGGCGAGACGCCGGGGGGAGGAAGAGGGGGGGAAGAGGGGGAGUGGGGCGGAGGCCGGGUGGCGCAGGGGGGGGGGGGGGAGGCGGGCUGUGGGGUGGUAACCGGCUUUCGCCGGUGAGGAGGCGGGAGUGAAGGUAGUGGAAAAAGAAGCACCGGCUAACUACGGGCCAGGAGCGGCCGUAAUAGGAGGAAGAGAACACGCCUGACC